This 253-nucleotide ribosomal RNA is filed under the name uncultured bacterium. Its description in RNAcentral is "partial 16S ribosomal RNA". It matches the Rfam family "Bacterial small subunit ribosomal RNA", at positions 524 to 776 of the family's 1533-position model. The record is from RNAcentral.
UACGUAGGGGGCAAGCGUUGUCCGGAAUUAUUGGGCGUAAAGGGCUCGUAGGCGGUCCAUCGCGUCGGGAGUGAAAAGCUGGGGCUUAACCCCAGUCCUGCUUCCGAUACGGGUGGACUAGAGGUAGGUAGGGGGGAUCGGAAUUCCUGGUGUAGCGGUGAAAUGCGCAGAUAUCAGGAGGAACACCGGUGGCGAAGGCGGAUCUCUGGGCCUUACCUGACGCUGAGGAGCGAAAGCAUGGGGAGCAAACAGG